Molecule: non-coding RNA, 128 nt
Filed under: uncultured Blautia sp.
Lineage: Bacteria; Bacillati; Bacillota; Clostridia; Lachnospirales; Lachnospiraceae
Description: FMN riboswitch (RFN element)
Rfam family: FMN riboswitch aptamer (RFN element)
About the family: The RFN element is a highly conserved domain that is found frequently in the 5'-untranslated regions of prokaryotic mRNAs that encode for flavin mononucleotide (FMN) biosynthesis and transport proteins.
Source: RNAcentral
UUCUUCGGGGCAGGGUGACUGAUUAUUGUAUGAUCGGAAUUCCCUACCGGCGGUAUAGUCCGCGAGCUGCUUUUGCGGUUGAUCUGGUGAGAUUCCAGAACCGACAGUAUAGUCUGGAUGAGAGAAGA